AACGAACGCUGGCGGCAUGCUUAACACAUGCAAGUCGAACGAGACCUUCGGGUCUAGUGGCGCACGGGUGCGUAACGCGUGGGAAUCUGCCCUUUGCUACGGAAUAACUCAGAGAAAUUUGUGCUAAUACCGUAUAAUGUCGUAAGACCAAAGAUUUAUCGGCAAAGGAUGAGCCCGCGUAAAGAUUAGCUUGUUGGUGAGGUAAAGGCUCACCAAGGCGACGAUCUUUAGCUGGUCUGAGAGGAUGAUCAGCCACACUGGGACUGAGACACGGGCCCAGACUCCUACGGGAGGCAGCAGUGGGGAAUAUUGGACAAUGGGCGAAAGCCUGAUCCAGCAAUGCCGCGUGAGUGAUGAAGGCCUUAGGGUUGUAAAGGCUCUUUUACCUAGGGAUGAUAAUGACAGUACCUGGAGAAUAAGACUCCGGCUAAACUCCGUGCCAGCAGCCGCGGGUAA
This 456-nucleotide ribosomal RNA is filed under the name uncultured bacterium. Its description in RNAcentral is "bacterial SSU rRNA". It matches the Rfam family "Bacterial small subunit ribosomal RNA", at positions 29 to 524 of the family's 1533-position model. The record is from RNAcentral.